UGGGCGGAGCCUGACGCAGCAACGCCGCGUGAGGGAUGACGGCCUUCGGGUUGUAAACCUCUUUCAGCGCUGACGAAGCCCCAUGACUUUGUUGUGGGGUGACGGUAGGCGCAGAAGAAGCACCGGCUAACUACGUGCCAGCAGCCGCGGUAAUACGUAGGGUGCGAGCGUUGUCCGGAAUUAUUGGGCGUAAAGGGCUCGUAGGCGGCUUGUCGCGUCUGCUGUGAAAGCCCGGGGCUUAACCCCGGGUCUGCAGUGGAUACGGGCAGGCUAGAGUCCGGCAGGGGAGACUGGAAUUCCUGGUGUAGCGGUGGAAUGCGCAGAUAUCAGGAGGAACACCGGUGGCGAAGGCGGGUCUCUGGGCCGGUACUGACGCUGAGGAGCGAAAGCGUGGGGAGCGAACAGGAUUAGAUACCCUGGUAGUCCACGCCGUAAACGUUGGGCGCUAGGUGUGGGUUCCCUUCCACGGGGUCCGUGCCGUAGCUAACGCAUUAAGCGCCCCGCCUGGGGAGUACGGCCGCAAGGCUAAAACUCAAAUGAAUUGACGGGGAAUCGAAUUCCCGCGGCCGCCAUGGCGGCCGGGAGCAUGCGACGUCGGGCCCAAUUCGCCCWWGGGGGGNNNCSNN
This 626-nucleotide ribosomal RNA is filed under the name Thermobifida fusca. Its description in RNAcentral is "bacterial SSU rRNA". It matches the Rfam family "Bacterial small subunit ribosomal RNA", at positions 372 to 995 of the family's 1533-position model. Lineage: Bacteria; Bacillati; Actinomycetota; Actinomycetes; Streptosporangiales; Nocardiopsidaceae. The record is from RNAcentral.